Molecule: ribosomal RNA, 102 nt
Filed under: uncultured bacterium
Lineage: Bacteria
Description: partial 16S ribosomal RNA
Source: RNAcentral
CACUCACCGCCCGUCACAGUCACUUGAAUCUGUUGCUCCCGAAGUCGCUGGCCGAACCCGUAAGGGACGGAGGCGCCGAAGGAGUGGCCGGUGAGAGGGGUG